AUUUUUUUAGUAUAAUAGUACAAAUGAUUUCCACUCAUUUAGUUCUGGUUUAACCCCAGGAAAAAAUA
Molecule: transfer RNA, 68 nt
Filed under: Polypedates megacephalus (Hong Kong whipping frog)
Lineage: Eukaryota; Metazoa; Chordata; Amphibia; Anura; Rhacophoridae
Also listed under: 1 other name
Description: tRNA-Gly
Rfam family: tRNA
About the family: Transfer RNA (tRNA) molecules are approximately 80 nucleotides in length. Their secondary structure includes four short double-helical elements and three loops (D, anti-codon, and T loops). Further hydrogen bonds mediate the characteristic L-shaped molecular structure. tRNAs have two regions of fundamental functional importance: the anti-codon, which is responsible for specific mRNA codon recognition, and the 3' end, to which the tRNAs corresponding amino acid is attached (by aminoacyl-tRNA synthetases). tRNAs cope with the degeneracy of the genetic code in two manners: having more than one tRNA (with a specific anti-codon) for a particular amino acid; and 'wobble' base-pairing, i.e. permitting non-standard base-pairing at the 3rd anti-codon position.
Source: RNAcentral